This 253-nucleotide ribosomal RNA is filed under the name uncultured bacterium. RNAcentral describes it as "partial 16S ribosomal RNA". It matches the Rfam family "Bacterial small subunit ribosomal RNA", at positions 524 to 776 of the family's 1533-position model. The record is from RNAcentral.
UACAGAGGGUGCGAGCGUUAAUCGGAAUUACUGGGCGUAAAGCGCACGUAGGUGGCGACGUAAGUCGGGUGUGAAAGCCCCGGGCUCAACCUGGGAAUUGCAUUCGAGACUGCAUUGCUGGAGUACGGAAGAGGAGGGCGGAAUUCCCGGUGUAGCGGUGGAAUGCGUAGAGAUCGGGAAGAACAUCAGUGGCGAAGGCGGCCUGCUGGGCUGUUGCUGACGCUGAGGCGCGACAGCGUGGGGAGCAAACAGG